GGGCCCGUAGCUCAAUGGUAGAGCGCCUCGCUGAUACCGAGAUGGUUGGGGGUUCGACUCCCCUCGGGUCCA
This 72-nucleotide transfer RNA is filed under the name Candidatus Uhrbacteria bacterium RIFCSPHIGHO2_01_FULL_47_11. RNAcentral's name for it is "tRNA-Ile". It matches the Rfam family "tRNA". From Rfam's summary of the family: Transfer RNA (tRNA) molecules are approximately 80 nucleotides in length. Their secondary structure includes four short double-helical elements and three loops (D, anti-codon, and T loops). Lineage: Bacteria; Candidatus Uhriibacteriota. RNAcentral also lists the same sequence under 5 other names. The record is from RNAcentral.